CUUCACUGCCAGCACUGGCACCCUCAGUUGCAUUUCCAGCAUUAGGACUCUCUGCACUCGGAGGUUGUUGCUCUCCUCCUUGAGGAGAUUGAGGUGGUGGUGUCUCGGGAGUUGCUGGCUUAGGCUUUGUCAUUAUAGGCCUACAGACCCUGUAGAUACACAGAUAGUUAACAAGUGGGUUAAGCAGACGGAAAAAUAGGUAAGUAAGAAAGAAACAAAGAGGUGCUCCGACAUGGAAGACGGACAGAGUGAGUGGAGAAGCAAGAAAUGUUAUCAACACUUUGGAGUUAAAGUAGCCCAAAUAUUUAAAUCCGCAAGUUAUGGUAAAACAAUAUCAGUGAACAAAAGUACCUAUCAAGUGCCUCUGCCUUCUUUCGAACAUCAGCUGACAAAAGAACAGGGUUGGCAUAUUUUGGUAGAGCAUCCUGCUGCUGCUUUUUCUCUCUAAACCAAGCCUCGGCUUCGACACACUCAUUCAAAACCUGGGAAGUGCAAGAGAAACAUAAGCAUCAAACCACAUUCUCAGAAGAAGAUGGGUGCUAUAUGAUGAAGAAAAGGGAAGGCAAAUAGCAAGAUCAAGCAGUUAUAUCCAUACCUUCUGCUUAUCUGCUAAAUCAAUGUGAUCAAACUUAGGAUCAGUUGAAACUGCCGCCUCUCUGUAACUAUUUAUGCAAUAAAUAAAUUGAUCAAUCACAGGACCCCUCUCCGUGUACUCCUUGUAUCGUUGCUCAAUUGGGUCACCUUGCUGCAGAUUCACACUAAAUCAGCUCUAUAUAUGCCAAAACAGUAGCAAAAAUAGGAUAUGCGAGAAACAACCAACCUUUUUAAGCUCCUCAAGCUUGGCAAUGUAAACACCCUUAGUUUCAUCCUCUCCAUCUUCAUACAACCAAUCUUCCACUUCUUGAAGUACAGCCAUAAAUUGUUCUCUUUCUGAAUCAGUUACAAACUCUUGAUAUUUAUCUGAAAGCUGGAUAUAUAAAGAAGAAAGUUGUCAGUGACAUAACAAAUGUUUUCAUACAACCACCAUAAAAAGCCAACCGAUACCUUAUUCCUCAUGUCAUAAACAUAGGACUCAACAGCAUUCUUCUUGUCCUUUGUCUCUUCCAUAACACGGUCCUGAAGAGCCAUUUCAAAUUCUUUCUCAACAGCCUUCUGAACAUCAGCAGCUGCCAUUGCACCAUAAACAAUCUCAGUCACUGGUACAGAUGUUUUCUUGACCUUCUUCUUAGGGGCUUCGACCUGCAAGGAAAUGAACACAAUAAAUGCUAAGCUUUACCAACAUCAAUGAGCUAAUACACGGAGAAAAAUAAGAAUAUUAGUUACAACCCAACAUUAAUUAUGCGACAAAAACACUACAGUGAUGCAUUUCAAGGAUUAAAAUAUAGGUAAAUAUAGCUAAGGCAUGUGCUCCCUAUGAUAAAUCAAAUCCUGAUGAUUUAAAGAGAUGCAUAGUCUGAUCAGUAACAAUCAAGUAUGACUGAUGGGAAAUAUUAACUAGCUAGAUAAGUAAUUAUAAGAAGUAAAAGAGUGAUGUGUUACCUUAGCAUCUGUCUCCAUUUGGACAGGUUUGUCUCCAGACUCUGGAACACCAUUCUCAGCCCCUGAAGCAGCUGCAGCUCCUUUUGCAUCCUGCAUAUUUACAUCACUUUCUGAUGUAGUUGAAGGAGCAGCAUCAACUGAAGCUUCAUCUGUUUCCAUUUUGGCAGGUUCCUUAGCUGUCUCUUUAACAACUGGGACUUCCACCUCUUCUUCUUCCAAAAGCUAAAUUACAAACCAAAAUUAUGAGAUCAGAUGAUAUUGUUUCCAUUCACUAGAUAAUUGAAGGGAAAAAAAAGAAUUUUUGGACUUACUGUUGCAGACUCAACAGAGACGAUACCAUGCAGGUUUAGGCGUACUUUGACUUUUAGUUUAGCCCUUUCACCCUUCGUAGAUUGGAAUGGUCCAAUCUGUCAAAAAGUUCAAAGAGAAUCCAAGUGAGCCAAGGACUCACCAGAAACCAGCGGAUCUAUUUUCCUCUAUAAUUUUUAAAAAAAAAACAUAGAAUCCAAUUAGUAAGUGGAACUCUGAAAUACCGUGUAAGUACUGAUUUUUGCUGGCGCCUGCAGUUCACUGACAUCAGCAUACUGUACAUCUAUUGUAAAUGUGCCAGAUCUGUAGAAUGUCAGAGCUUUCACACUGGGUAUCGGAUUCCCUUUGGGGAAAACAAUCGUGCUCUGAUGAUUCUCUAAAGCUCCAUUUUGUGCAUCUGGAGCAGGCCCCUUCCACGAUAAUGCAAUUGGGAAAGGGAAGCUCUCAUUGACCUUCAAUCAGCCAAAUAGAAUUCUUAGUACAGUUCUUACUCAUAAAUCAGCACAAUCUAUUGUGCUGGGAGCUAGAUGUGCAACUAGUAGCAUAAUAUUUAAGAAAAUGUUAAAAGCAACACAGCUGGCAUCUGCUUCACCAAAAAUCUUAGUGGUUCUAUAAUAAAUCAUGCAUUUCCUUCAUCCUUCAAGAAGGCAAUUUCUUCUACCUCCUAAUUUGUCGUUCAUUACCCUUAUAUUUACACUUGAUUCAAGUUAACCAAAUGCAAACAACUAAAUAAAACAAAGGAAAAAUCAAAAGCAUGUUUCAAUACUUGUCUUAACACACUAAAUUGGUGCCUACAUAUAUAAUUUUGUUUUGAUUGGUUUAAAUAAAAUGAAGUUGAAAACCCUGAAUCCAAAUGACUAUGGAAAAAUAUAUUGACCAAGAAAAUGCAAAGCUGACAAGCUGUUACCUUGAAUUCUCGCACUUUAAAGGUAGGACUGAGAAUAGCGCAUUGCAGUGCAGCUCCUUUGGCCACACAUUCACUUGCAUUCAUGGUGCGCCUCGGUUCCUUACCGAAGAACUCUGUCAAAAUCCUCAUAAUUGCAGGUACUCGGGAGCUUGACCCAAUAACCUCAACUGCAUGAAUGUUCUCAGUAGUAAGCCCAGCUUCAGCAAGAGCUUUCUCCAGUGGUUUCUUCACUCUCUCCAGUAUAGGGAUGCUGAUUUGCUCAAACUCAUCCCUCUUGAGAAACCCUCUAACAUCCUUCUCAUCCAUUAAACACUCUAUAUUCAAAGGUGCCUCAGGGUUUGCACUGAGAACCUUCUUCAACUUUUCACAAGCAGCUCGAAGCCUAAUGCAUGCCCUAGCAUUUUGGUAAACAUCAAUUUUGUAUUCUUCCUUGAACUUUGCAGCAAAAUGUUGGAAAAUAGCUUCAUCAAAAUCCCUCCCACCAAGAUUUCUGUCAAACGAAUGAGCCAAUAUCUUCAAUUCGCCUUUCUUAAAGCCAGCAAUACAAACUUGCAAGCUUGCAUGCCCAACGUCAACAAAAGCAACAUUCACUGGGUCAUUUUCAGGUAAAUCUGUCUUGUAAAUACCAUACGCUAAUGCAGUAGCUGUUGUCUCAUGAAUUAGAUGCAAAGGAUGCAAGCCAGCAAUGGUGGCUGCAUCCAUUACAGCUCUUCUCUGGAGAUCAGUGAAAUAAAUUGGAAUUCCAAUGCAACAAUCAACUACUACUGCAUUGAGAUUCUUCUCUGCUAUAGUUUUGAGAUCCGAAAAUACCAUUCCAAGAACCUGGGUAGGUGUAAAAGUUCUCACUUCUCCCAAAUAUCGCGCAUGGAUCAGGGGAUAUCCAUCAGGCCCUUCAGUUACUAAGAAGGGAAGUGUCUUAAUAUCUCUUUGCAGCUCGGGAUCUGAAAAUUGCCGUCCUAUUAGCCUCUUUAUCUGGGAGAUGGUAUUCUUUGGAUUCAUCAUGCUUGAUGCUGCACCAGCAGUACCGAGAAAUCUUUGCUUCUCUCCGAAGCAGACUAUAGCUGGAGUUUCCCUUUUUGAUUCAUCAUUAAGUACGACAUCAAUUCCUCUCUGCCUAGCAACCGCAACAACGCCUCUCUCAUUCCCGAAGUCAAAACCAACCACGCUCAUCUUUUCUGGCUGCGAUAACUACAGCACAAAGAAAGUACCUAGACCACAUCAAAAGACAAGAAUCAACUAAAACGCCAGCAUCCUCUGUGUGUGAAUCUACAUGAAAGAAGCCAUGGGUUUUAAAUGGUAGCACCCAAGAGCAACAUCAAAAAGUGAUUGAUUUUCAAUUAAUAAGCUAAGAAAGCCGAUCACUCGUGGACGGGCUUUCUUGGAAUGCGAUUACUCUAUACAGUAAUUAGUAACUAUGAAUUCACAGAAGAGGGCAAAUAAGUUCUCUCUUUUCUUUUAAGUAAAGAGAGUGAAUAAGAUGGCGUGAAGUGAUCAACAAUCUCCAGCUAGGAAAGCUGAUCACUCGUGGACGGGCUUUCUUGGAAUGCAAUUACUCUAUACAGUAAUUAUGGAUACACAGAAGAGAGCAAAUAAGUUUCCUUUUUAGUAAAGAGUGAAUAAGAUGGCGUGACGUGAUCAACAAUCUCCAGACACGUUCAAAAACGUCAACAAUCAAAAUAACAUAGACUCAAAGUUCAAGAAUGAUUCUUCUUUUUCUAUUUCCCCAAUAUCCAAAGUAUCCAAAGUUCAAGUACACAAUUUUUAUCUAAUUUUACUACCAAGGAAACUUUCAUGCGAGAAUGAACUCGCACACCUACCGACAAGGCAGGAAACUACAGUAAACCACCAACGCAAACUCAAUUUUUUUAAUAUACAAUCUAGCAAUACACCAAAUCCCUAUAUUUAACCUAUAUAAAUUUUAACAAAUAGGCUCCACAUUGCCUUAUAUAAACUUAAGAGCCUAUUUGGAUUGACUUUGACUUAUGACUUACAAGCCAAAAGCCAUUAGUUAGAAAUCCUAACUUAUAACUUUUGACUUAGAUCCAAAUGCUUAAAAGCACUUUCUAAUCUUACUCAAACACUACAAAAGUGCUAUAGAACACUUAGAAUAGGUCAAUCCAAACAAACUUUACAUAAUAUAAACUCAAUCAUACCAAAAAAAAAACACUCCGAUGUUAAGAUUGAUCUGAUUGAAGAUUAAGCAAAGAUCAUAUCACAACAGCACCCUACCUAGCUUAACGGAUUUUCGAUCCACACCUUUCUCAAUCUUCACACCUUUAAUCAUAAACCUCCUUAAUCAUUUGUUCACGUCUUGUAAUUUUCUAAGAAUAGAUUAAGAGUUCGCCAAAGCAACCAACAAUGCAGGAACAACAAACUGCAAUUUUCUACUAAAUCAUGAAACUACAACAGAGUCCAUAUCACCACAGCAUACAACAGAUUCAGUUUACUCCUAGCAAAACACUAAACAACAUGCAAUUUAACCGACAAUACUACAUCUCCAGCUAAACAUCACCAAAUCUAAGCCGAACAAACAAUCAAAAGCAACAAAAUUGUAGAUCUGCAAAUUGAAAUACAGAGAGCAAGAGUUUUGUGAUGCAAACAAUACCUUGAAGACGAAGAAUGGAAUCGCAGUUCUACGAGGCAAAAGGAGAAUAGUAUGAUAAAACAGAAGGGUUUAAAGGAGAGCAAAAUAUGUAAAUGGAGGAGGAAUGAAGAGAAGAGGGGUUUGUGUAGAAUUUUCGAGUUAUAUAUAUUAGCUUUUAUUUAUUUAUAUUUCUUUUUUUUUUUGGAGACUAGGGAGGUUCGAGUGGUCCUAGAUGGGUCUAGAGGUAUUCUAGAAAGUUCUCAUCCUUAGUGCACAAAUAGCCAUAUGUAGAAAGUCCCAUUUAUAAUUUAACCAUUAACCACAUACAUCUGCUCAUGUCAAUUUUCAAAUAGUAUACAUAUAUUAUUUUUUAAAUGUGGUAUUAAUAGAGUAGUUUUGAGAACUAAUCAAAUGUUUUAUAUAACUUUCAAAUAUGCAACAAACUAAAAAAAAAUGAACUAAUAAAUUAAAAUGAAAAGAGUUUCAGAAAAACCUUUAGUUAGAUACAGAUAUGUCAACGAACAACUGCUUACUUCUAGCCGUUUUUAUAUAGUAGUAAAAUAGCUUAAGACUUAAUUCAAAAAGAAGUUAUAUAAUGAUUAAGAAUGAAAUAAUUAAUUAGGUAGUGAUUACUAGAUGGUGAUUGUCCAUGUACGCACGGACCAAACUUAAUAUGAAAGAGUUACAUUUUGGAGUUUCGCCUAUCAAACUUAAUACAAAAUCUUUGGUAGAGAUAAAGUUCGAUAAAUUGUAAGCUAACACCAAAAAAGGGAGCAGUCUAAAGAGGAUUCGGGGGGGAGGGGGGUCAUAAAUAAAAUUAGAAGAUUUGACCUAUUGCAUUCUGAAGGAAGAGAGCUUCAUCAAUUUGUGUUAAUUAAUCCCCUAACUUUCCUUGAGAGAUCAGAGAAAGAGUUGAAAUCAUGAAUUGCACCAACACUAUAACUCCUGAAUGCUAAUAUAUUGACAGGUUUUUUUUUUUUUUUAAUAAAUUACAUCCAUGAAUGGAUGUGCAUCUUAUUUCUUCCAGCAAAAACUUACAUGUUGAUGCACCUUUGAGUUCAAAGGAACUCAACAAAAGUUGUCAGUUCCAUGACUAGCGAUAUGUACAAAAGUAAACUAAUUAACUAACAAAGAAGUUGGCCUUGUCAUAUUUAAUUCUCAUAUUUAACUAACAAAUAUUGACAAGUUUGUUAGCUUCCAUGAAGCAAUGACAGAUGAUCCAUGAGUUUCAACUAUUUGUUAUGAUUCUUGAAUCAACGUAUCCAAUCUCCAAGGCAUUUUCAUUCUCCGUUUAUUCAUUUAGCUAAGAGUAAGAAUCAGUUUCUCUCAAACCCUAUCGUAACAUCUAUUAACCCACUAUUUAAGACCAUAGAGUAGUGCACGACCUUUAGUCAUGUUGCUAGUACCUUGGCCUAGACCCAAAGAGUUAGCAAACAUCAUGUUGUAUUGGUUGUCUGCCUGUCUCUGAUUAGUCCUCCUCCACCACAACACACCAAAUAUAUAUUGAGUGGCAAUUGUUACAAAUAUUAAUUAGACUGUAAUUAGUUGAAAAUUUUGCUAAUAUAUACAUACACAUCAUAUUGUUUUUUUUAUAUAAAAAAAAAAGAAGCAAUUGUGCACUCUUUUUUCUAUAACCCAAAUCAUAUUUAUUAUAUCUUCUAGCGAUUUGGGGUUGCGAUUCGCAGUUUGUAGUAUGUUUUAAAAUUUAUUUGUUAUUCUUAGUUGAUUUGAAGCUUUUAUAAUAUUUAAUACAAUUUUUAUUUUUAUUUUUUAUUUUUGUCAAACUAUUAAAAUUUGAAGUAGUUAACUAGUUUAAAUAGGAUUUGAGACUACUAUUACUUGGAAGGUGUUUGAAAUUUCACAAAUCUACAACAAAAAAUUAAAGUGUUUGAAGUUUUACAAAUUCACGGCAAAAAAAAUAAAUUAACCCACCUUAUUUCGUCCCAUGAUAAAUUUUCAAAAAUUGCAACCUACCCUAUCCAAUCCUGCCCCACAAAAUUUAAAAUUACACUACCUAGCAUAACUUUAAAUCUGCACUACUCUGCAUAUAUCCCGCUUCAUUUUCAUCCCCACUGCUUCAUUCUCCUAUAAAAAGAUCUACAUUUACUUGGUCUCAAACUUCUCAUAGACAUUAACCUAAAUACGUACAAAUAAUUAAAUGAUGUUCGAGUCAUGUGAAAUAAUUAAAAUUUUAAUUUUCCUCAAUUAAAAUGCUUUGUUUUUAACAAAUUCAAUAUUUAAUGUAUAUAAUUAAUUCUUACCUAAACUAAAAAAUGUUCAUAAUUAGAACUCUCAAAAAUUAAAAUAUUUUUUUAUAAAUUAAGAACAUUAAAUGAAUUGAGACAAAUUAUUUUGUACUACAAUCAAUUUUGGAAUUGAAAUCUUGCCAUAAUCAAUUUAUUUCAGUGCUAACGGAUUAAAAGAUAUCUUAAUUAUUUUAAUAAAAAAAACAAUAUUUUUAGCACUUCCCUAAUCAGAUACAUAACUACUUAUUUUAAGUUUCAUCACUUCUAAUCAAACACGUAACUAUUUUAAGAAAAAUUCAAUUUCAGCAUUUCAAAAGUACAUUUAAGCUUAGGUGCUUAAAAACUACUUUAUUCAGCUAAUUCAAAUAGGCUCUAAAUAUAUUUGUUUGCAACAAAUUUUAGAGCCGAGAAAAAUAAAAAUGCAAUCACAAAAAAAUAAACAAACAAGAAUAUUUUAUUGAUUAAUCAAUAUAAGUACAAUUUUGUUUUUCCCUUGAUUCUUCUCUCGUAAUAUUUCUCCAUGAUUCGAAGGUCGUUAGUGGAAUAUUUCUCAAACUAUGGUGAUUUAAAUUUGAUCUCUUCAUGAAUUUGCAGAAUAUUUGAAAUGCCUCUCCAAGAAAAUAUAUUGUCCUUUAUAUAGGCAUGAGAUAGGGUUUAGGGUAGAGUUGUGACGUCCUAACUUAAGACAGGAAGUCCUACAUCGGCAAAAACAUAGGAGAGAUGUUAGGUAUAUAAGUAAGGAGGCCUUACCAAUUAAUGACGUGUUUUAAAGUUUUGCGGACCUAAGCCUAGAGCGGACAAUAUCAUUAGUAGAUCGGAUCGUUACAAAUGGUAUCUGCGUCACUCUUAUGUCAGCCUUGUCGAUUUGGGCCAGAGUUCAACUAAGUUUAAGCAAAUCCUGAUAAGGCGAGGCAAACCUCAGUACUGAGUCUAAGGCAAUCUCAUAUGGUAGGUCAACCCUCAGCGAGGACGUUAAGUUCACAAAGGGUGUAUGUGACGCCUCAACUUAAGACAAGAAGUCCCACAUCGACAAAACACAAGAGAGAUGUUAGGUAUAUAAGUAAGCAGACCGUAUCAACUAGUGACGCGUUUUAAAGUCGUGCAGGCCUAGAUCCAGAGCGGACAAUGUCACUAGUGGGUCGGACCGUUAGAAGAGUAGCCUCCAAUAUUCCUAACUGAAAUCAAACACGUCUUGUAGAGUCUCACAAAAUUUGAAUGUCUACAAUAUUAUAAAUUGCACAUGCAUUUUAAAUAAUAAUUCUAAAAGCGGCUACUUUGUCUCAUUUUAUACUCUAUUAUACUUAGGCUUUAUUUGUUUAUGUUAAGAUUCGGAUGUCUAAAUCUGAAUGUAUAUCUGAAUGAUUAAGAUGUGGUCUCUAGAUCUGAACAUUGAAUGAUUAAGCCUGUUUAUUUUUCAAUAUUUGAAUAUACAUAAUUUAUUUAUAUGUAUAUAAUAAUUAUACAAUUCAAAUAAAAAUUAAUUAGACAUAAAUAAAUUAAUAAAAUAAAAUUAUUAUUUGAUUAAAAAAUGAAGCACUUAGGAUCUGUUUGGAUGGACUUAUAAAUCAAAAGUUAAAAGUCAUAAGUAAAUAAUGGUACCCUUCUUUUGACUUUUGUCAUAUUUUUUUUUAAAAAAAAUAGCCUAAAAAUGGGUGCUUAAUUAUAAUUUUCUAAAUACCUCCAAAACUACUUAAAAGACAAAAACACCUAAAAAUAAGGUAAUCCAAACGGACAUUUGUACUCGCUAGUAAUGAUAGAGAUAGUUUAAAGUGGUGGUAGCGAUGAUAAUAAUUGUUGUUAGGAUGAUAGUGGUGAUAGUUGUGAAAGUGGAGAUGGAUAAUGUUGUGGUGACUAUCAUAACAGUGGUGAUCGAUAAUGGUGUUGGUGCUUGUAAUGAUGAAAUUGGUUGUCCAUAGUUGGCGGUGUUGAUGAUGAUGGCCGAAGAAUGUGUGAUUAUUGGUGAGGCAUUUUGUAGUAGUUGGUGGUCGUGCUAGUUAUGAUAAUGGAGUAAGUUAGCAGUAUAGAUUAACCACGGUGAUGGUAAUAACUAACAAUAGUGGUGGUAGUGGUGAUCCGAGAAUGUAUGGUGAUAGUUGGCGGCGGUGCUAGUUGUGAUGACAGAGUUUGUUGAUACUAGGACUUGACUAUAGUGGUGAUAGUGGUUGAUACUAGUAGUGGAGGUGGUAGCAACUACAGAGACGGGAAUAAUAGUAACAAUGGAUAUAAUCAUAAUGAUGAAAAAGAUAAGAGUGAUAGCAGCUAAUAACAGUAGUUAGCAACAAUGGCGGUUAUGAUAACAGAGGUGGUUGGUGGUAGACGUCGAUAGAGUAGUUGAUAAUGGCGGUGAUGGUGGUUGUGAUAGGAAAAGUGAUUAGUGAUGGUGAGUGGAGAUUGUGAAUAGAGUGAUAGAAAAUAUUAUCCACAUAAGAAUACAUCUUAAUGAUAUUAUGAUUCUAUUUUAAAUUUUAGACUUAUUUAACCUUGUUAAGUAUUUAAAUCUUGAUAAAUAUAAAUACACUUAAUUACAUUUUAACCUCCAUUAAGUACAAGCAAAUAAGACCUUACAAGCAUGCUUGGUUGGAACUUGUAGCUUUUGACUUAUAACCCACAAGACAUAAAUUAAGAAUUUUAGCUUAUAACUUCCAACAUAUUUCUAUAUUUUUUUAGUUUAAAAAGUAGUGAUUAAAGCACAUUUUUAUUUUAAUCAAACACUACAUAUGUCAAAUUAAAGUUUGGACCAAACGGACUCUUUCUCAUUUGAAGCCACAUUCACAAUGUCAGGGUUAGAGAAAUAAUAUAACCAAUUUGAGACAUAUUUAUAAAACUUUAAACCAUCAAUUGUCGAGAGUUGCCGUUUCCUUUCCAUUGUACUUGGUGUUUGCCAUUAUCUUCAAAUAAUUGAGAAACAAAAUAGGCCACUCGUAACAAGCAGUCAUUCCUAAUAACAAGAAACGAAGUAGGCCAUAUAACUAACCCUUUCUCAAUUUGCCAAUGCCCAAAUCAAUAUAAUGAACACUAUGAACCAAAGGUUCAAACAGAUCAAUCUUUGCUUGGAGUACAAACUACUUCAGAUCCUAAGUUUCGGUUGAUACCUCAAGCAAUAGACCAUAAUUGCACGGAAUUAAGAAAACGGAAAGUGCAGAUAUAUUCUAGCUACAAGGAGCCAAACACAGCUCAACAAAUCAUUUAGUGACCAACAGAAAAUGUCUGAGAACAGCAAUUGUACUUAACAUCAAAACCCUCUGAAAAACAGGAUUUUUGAGAGUCGUUAUCAAAUAAUAUAACUUGACAAGACACAUCUAUAUGGCCGAAAUUGAUCACAACAAUUUAAUGACAAAAUCUUUGACUGCUACUAUAGGUCUUUUAAAAUGUAUUAAGGGUAAAAUGCAAAAAGUAAUACAAACCCAACCAAGUUUGUCCCUUCAUCAAACCAUCAACUUAAUUCAUGAAGCACUUGGCAAAGUCUCAGAUUUGUCAGUCUCCAUUGGCUCGCCAGCAGGUGGUACUUCACUGUCAGCACUGGCACCCUCAGUAGCAUUAGGACUCGCUGCACCCUGAGGUUGUUGCUCACCUCCUUGAGGAGGUUGAGGUGACGGUGUUUCAGGAGUUGCUGGCUUAGCUGGCUUAGGCUUUGUCAUUAUAGGCCUACACACCCUGUACAAACAGAUAGUUAAAAAGUGGAUUAAAAGCAGAAGGAGAAACAGGGAAGGAAGAUUAGCCCAAAUGUGGAAGGACAGCGACUAGCAAAUCAAGAAAUGAUAUCAACAAACUUUGCAAUAAAAUUAGCCCAAAUAUUGUGAUCUACAAGUUAUGGCAAAAUCCGACCGGAGGCAAUAACACUAGAUGAUUACUU
RNAcentral lists this long non-coding RNA (11438 nucleotides) under Solanum tuberosum (potato). RNAcentral describes it as "long non-coding RNA (STUB_LNC011734)". Lineage: Eukaryota; Viridiplantae; Streptophyta; Magnoliopsida; Solanales; Solanaceae. The record is from RNAcentral.